This 70-nucleotide transfer RNA is filed under the name Dipodomys ordii (Ord's kangaroo rat). It matches the Rfam family "tRNA". Rfam says of the family: Transfer RNA (tRNA) molecules are approximately 80 nucleotides in length. Their secondary structure includes four short double-helical elements and three loops (D, anti-codon, and T loops). Further hydrogen bonds mediate the characteristic L-shaped molecular structure. tRNAs have two regions of fundamental functional importance: the anti-codon, which is responsible for specific mRNA codon recognition, and the 3' end, to which the tRNAs corresponding amino acid is attached (by aminoacyl-tRNA synthetases). tRNAs cope with the degeneracy of the genetic code in two manners: having more than one tRNA (with a specific anti-codon) for a particular amino acid; and 'wobble' base-pairing, i.e. permitting non-standard base-pairing at the 3rd anti-codon position. Lineage: Eukaryota; Metazoa; Chordata; Mammalia; Rodentia; Heteromyidae. The record is from Rfam by way of RNAcentral.
GGGAAUGUGGCUUAGUGGUAGAGUGCUUGUUUAGCAUACAUGAAGUCCUGGGUUUGAUUCCUCAGUACCA